CAGCAUUUCCAUCUUUAUUAUUAUUCGUAGGGCUUCUAAUCGCAAAUAGCGGUUGUGUAACUUGCGUUUGCGUUUCUUUCGGCGGCGAUUGCAUAAACAGCGUUUGCGUUUGCGUUUCUUUCGGAGGCGGAGGCGCCGGUGGUUGCAUAAACAGCGUUUGCGUUUGCGUUUCUUUCGGAGGCGGAGGUGCCGGUGGUUGCAUAAACAGCGUUUGCGUUUCCUUCGGAGGCGAAGGAGCCGGCGGCUGCAUAAACAACGUCUGCGUUUCCUUAGGAGGCGGAGGAGCCGGCGGUUGCAUAAACAGCGUUUGCGUCUCUUUCGGAGGCGCAGACGGUGGCUGUUGCAUAAACAGCGUCUGCGUCUCUUUCGGAGGCGGCGGCGGUUGCAUAAACAACGCCUGUGUUUGCGGCUGCUGAAGUUGCGGUUGUUG
RNAcentral lists this long non-coding RNA (430 nucleotides) under Gossypium raimondii (Peruvian cotton). RNAcentral describes it as "long non-coding RNA (GRAI_LNC010160)". Lineage: Eukaryota; Viridiplantae; Streptophyta; Magnoliopsida; Malvales; Malvaceae. The record is from RNAcentral.